CAACGGGUGAGUAAUACAUCGGAACGUGCCCAGUCUGGGGGAUAACUACUCGAAAGAGUAGCUAAUACCGCAUACGAUCUGAGGAUGAAAGCGGGGGACCUUCGGGCCUCGCGCGAUUGGAGCGGCCGAUGGCAGAUUAGGUAGUUGGAGGGAUAAAAGCUUACCAAGCCGACGAUCUGUAGCUGGUCUGAGAGGACGACCAGCCACACUGGGACUGAGACACGGCCCAGACUCCUACGGGAGGCAGCAGUC
RNAcentral lists this ribosomal RNA (252 nucleotides) under uncultured Delftia sp. Its description in RNAcentral is "partial 16S ribosomal RNA". It matches the Rfam family "Bacterial small subunit ribosomal RNA", at positions 100 to 355 of the family's 1533-position model. Lineage: Bacteria; Pseudomonadati; Pseudomonadota; Betaproteobacteria; Burkholderiales; Comamonadaceae. The record is from RNAcentral.